ACCAGAGAUCUGAGAAUCUUGAUUUGCAGAAGACCUGAAAGGGUGUCCAUUUUGAAUCAAGGGUUUGGUGAAUGACAAAGUUCUCAACUUUUGGUUUCUACUACCAAGAUUUGGUUGAAAAGGUGAAGGGCUAACAGGAUAGUUAGGACGGGAUUUGGAGAGAGUGACAUUAGUGGAUGGAAGAAGAUUUAAAGUAAGCAUCUUUGAAUGAAAACACAAGAUUAAGAUUCUGAAACACAAAAAAAAAAGCAGAAACUUUAAAGA
This 264-nucleotide unclassified non-coding RNA is filed under the name Hevea brasiliensis (rubber tree). The record is from RNAcentral. Lineage: Eukaryota; Viridiplantae; Streptophyta; Magnoliopsida; Malpighiales; Euphorbiaceae.